The sequence is a transfer RNA, 89 nucleotides long. It matches the Rfam family "tRNA". Rfam says of the family: Transfer RNA (tRNA) molecules are approximately 80 nucleotides in length. Their secondary structure includes four short double-helical elements and three loops (D, anti-codon, and T loops). The record is from Rfam.
UCCUCGAUGGUCUAACGGUCAUGAUUUCCGCUUGUCACUCAAAUAGAGAACGAGCGCGGGAGACCAGGGUUCGACUCCCUGUCGGGGAG